This 1267-nucleotide long non-coding RNA is filed under the name Nicotiana benthamiana. RNAcentral describes it as "long non-coding RNA (NBEN_LNC029944)". The record is from RNAcentral. Lineage: Eukaryota; Viridiplantae; Streptophyta; Magnoliopsida; Solanales; Solanaceae.
CUAAACUAGCUACUUCGAGUUCCAAGCUCUAUAAAGUAUCAGUUGUGGAGACAAGGAUAGCUCCUAGUCCGGGUAACCUCUCAAUCUAUCUAAUUCAUUAUACCAUUUGGGAUAUCUUUCUCCUACAACAUGCAAUUAUAGACCUAUUUCUUUCAGUUUGUUUAUAAUUGUUUUCUUCAAUUGUUGAAAUCUUUACUGUUUCUUUCCAUCCAAACAUCGUAGAUUGUGGCUGCAAAUAUGGAGGCAAUAAUGACAACUCUUGGGUGUUUGCAUCUUGUUAUGUUUGCCAGUCAUGCUAGUUCUUCAUUCCAUGGUCUCACUUGCCUACAUUCAUGUCCAUUGAAGCAGUUUUAGCCAUAUAGUCUUGGAGUAGUUGCAUUCAAAGAAUAUGUGACUGAGUGUUUCCUCUACAUCUGUUAAGCAUAGCACACAUUUACAUUACACUUGUAUUCCCGACUUUUCUAUUCUGUUUACUAUUGACAGUCUUCGUUGAAGAGCCAUCCACAGAAUGAAUUAUUGCUUUGGUAUCAUUCAUUUACUAAGAAUCAAGCUUUUCCAAUAAGCUUUAGGAUGUUGAGGGAGAUUGUCCAUAUACGCUUUCUUAAUGCUGAAUUUGGCAUCUAGUGCAUAAGUCUGUAUUCUAUCCAUGUUAGGUGCUAGUCAUUGUCUAGCCUCAAAUAUCUUUCUAACCAACCAGCUUGCUUGUCUUGGUCUUUUCAAUUACUUUAAGUCUAGUUCUGGAUGGUAAGUUUGUUAGAUCAUCAAAACAUAAAGUAAAGUACAUAUGCCCAAGGUACUUGUAACCUAACAAUUUCUCCCUUUUUGAUGAUGACAAACUUAGAAUGGAUAUUCCCCCUGAGAACCAGAUCUCCACAUUGUUCCCCAUACGAAUUAGCCAUAUUCCUCAUAAGAACCGAACCUAAGGAACUGAUCACAACUGGUUCCUCAAGAGUGUCUGGAGAAUCAUCAAAGCUCAAAGUACCAUAGCUUAUCAAUUUCUCCCUUUUUGAUGAUUGACAGACCCAGAAUAAUAUUCCCUAUGAGAAUCAGGUUCCUUAUCUGCACAUAUUACAUCGGGUCCGUACCCAGUAUGUUAAGAACGUUUGUCAUCAUCAAAACAUGACAUAGAGUAACUUAGAUAAAUUUCUUCCUUUUUGAUGAUGACAAGCCUGAUAUUAUUAUUCCUCUUUAGAACAAGAUUUCUCACAUGUUUCCCUUCAGAUCAGACCUAUAAUUAAUAUAUUAUCAGCACGUUCCCCCUGCGAAG